AUUUACCAAUGUAGCAGAAUCCUUGAUAAGCCAAAUCAAUAAAAGAUACAAAACAAAAGAUGACAUCAAGUCUACAAGAAAAUUAAAGGAGUCUUUGAUUAACAGUGGUUUUUCAAACAAACCUGUUGUACAACUCAGUAAGGCAUGUCAUGUUUAACUGAAACAUAACUUGAGGUUUCCUGAAGAAAAAGUUCAGAAAAAAAGCUACAGAAAACUGAAGACUACCUUUGUUAAUGUUACUUCUGAAUGCCCAGUGAAUGAUGUUUACAAUUUUAAUUUGAAUGGAGCUGAUGACCCUAUCAUAAAACUUGGAAUCCAAGAGUUUCAAGCUACAGCUAAAGAAGCUUGUGCGGAUAGGUCAAUUAGAUUGGUAGGUCCAAGGAAUCAUGAUGAACUUAAAUCUUCUGUCAAAACAAAAGAUAAAAAAAUUAUAACAAAUCAUCAAAAGAAAAAUCUGUUUAGUGAUACUGAAACAGAGUACAGAUGUGAUGACAGCAAGACUGAUAUUAGCUGGCUAAGAGAACCGAAAUCAAAACCACAGCUAAUAGACUAUAGCAGAAAUAAAAAUGUGAAGAAUCAUAAAAGUGGAAAAUCAAGAUCAUCCUUGGAAAAGGGACAGCCAAGCUCUAAAAUGGAGGAGAAUAUCCAUUCCAGAAUGAAAACGGUAAAGCUACCAAAGAAACAACAGAAAGUCUUCUGUGCUGAAACAGAAAAGGAACUAUCAAAACAAUGGAAAAACUCAUCUCUACUAAAAGAUGCUAUACGAGAUAAUUGCCUUGACUUAUCUCCCAGAUCUUUAUCUGGCAGUCCAUCAUCUAUAGAAGUAACGAGAUGUAUAGAGAAAAUAACAGAAAAGGAUUUUACUCAGGAUUAUGACUGCAUAACAAAAUCUAUAUCACCUUAUCCAAAAACUUCAUCACUUGAAUCCUUAAAUAGUAACAGUGGAGUUGGAGGUACAAUAAAGUCACCCAAAAACAAUGAGAAAAACUUCCUGUGUGCAAGUGAAAGUUGUUCACCAAUUCCACGACCACUGUUUUUG
RNAcentral lists this long non-coding RNA (1039 nucleotides) under Homo sapiens (human). RNAcentral describes it as "HSALNT0269943". The record is from RNAcentral. Lineage: Eukaryota; Metazoa; Chordata; Mammalia; Primates; Hominidae.